Molecule: ribosomal RNA, 490 nt
Filed under: uncultured bacterium
Lineage: Bacteria
Description: bacterial SSU rRNA
Rfam family: Bacterial small subunit ribosomal RNA
Source: RNAcentral
AUUGAACGCUGGCGGCAUGCCUAACACAUGCAAGUCGAACGGUAACAGGGGCUUCGGCCCGCUGACGAGUGGCGGACGGGUGAGUAACGCGUAGGAAUCUUCCCAGUAGCGGGGGAUAGCUCGGCGAAAGCCGGAUUAAUACCGCAUACGCCCCACGGGGGAAAGCAGGGGAUCGUAAGACCUUGCACUAUUGGAUGAGCCUACGUCUGAUUAGCUAGUUGGUAGGUAAAAGCCUACCAAGGCGACGAUCAGUAGCUGGUCUGAGAGGACGAUCAGCCACACUGGGACUGAGACACGGCCCAGACUCCUACGGGAGGCAGCAGUGGGGAAUAUUGGACAAUGGGCGCAAGCCUGAUCCAGCAAUGCCGCGUGUGUGAAGAAGGCCUGCGGGUUGUAAAGCACUUUCAGCGGGGAAGAAAAGCUUAGGCCGAAUACCUCUAAGUCUUGACGUCACCCGCAGAAGAAGCACCGGCUAACUCCGUGCCAGCAG